AAUAUUGGACAAUGGGCUAAAGCCUGAUCCAGCCAUGCCGCGUGUGUGAAGAAGGUCUUCGGAUUGUAAAGCACUUUAAGGUGGGAGGAAGGGCAGUAAGUUAAUACCUUGCUGUUUUGACGUUACCGACAGAAUAAGCACCGGCUAACUUCCUGCCAGCCGCCGCGGUAAUACGAAGGGUGCAAGCGUUAAUCGGAAUUACUGGGCGUAAAGCGCGCGUAGGUGGUUUGUUAAGUUGGAAGUGAAAGCCCCGGGCUCAACCUGGGAACUGCUUUCAAAACUGGCAAGCUAGAGUACGGUAGAGAGUAGUGGAAUUUCCUGUGUAGCGGUGAAAUGCGUAGAUAUAGGAAGGAACAUCAGUGGCGAAGGCGACUACCUGGACUGUAACUGACGCUGAGGCACGAAAGCGUGGGGAGCAAACAGG
Molecule: ribosomal RNA, 424 nt
Filed under: uncultured bacterium
Lineage: Bacteria
Description: partial 16S ribosomal RNA
Rfam family: Bacterial small subunit ribosomal RNA
Source: RNAcentral